GUGCCAGCCGCCGCGGUAAUACGAAGGGGGCUAGCGUUGUUCGGAAUCACUGGGCGUAAAGGGCGCGUAGGCGGCUUUAUAAGUCGGGGGUGAAAGCCUGUGGCUCAACCACAGAAUUGCCUUCGAUACUGUAGAGCUUGAGACCGGAAGAGGUUAGUGGAACUGCGAGUGUAGAGGUGAAAUUCGUAGAUAUUCGCAAGAACACCAGUGGCGAAGGCGGCUGACUGGUCCGGUUCUGACGCUGAGGCGCGAAAGCGUGGGGAGCAAACAGGAUUAGAUCCCCUGGUAGUCCACGCCGUAAACGAUGAAUGCCAGCCGUUGGGCAGCUUGCUGCUCAGUGGCGCAGCUAACGCUUUAAGCAUUCCGCCUGGGGAGUACGGUCGCAAGAUUAAAACUCAAAGGAAUUGACGG
Molecule: ribosomal RNA, 411 nt
Filed under: uncultured bacterium
Lineage: Bacteria
Description: bacterial SSU rRNA
Rfam family: Bacterial small subunit ribosomal RNA
Source: RNAcentral